UGCAAGUCGAACGGUAACAUUGGUGCUUGCACCAGAUGACGAGUGGCGCACGGGUGCGUAACGCGUAUGCAAUCUACCUUUUACUGAAGAAUAGCCCAGAGAAAUUUGGAAUAAUCCUUCAUAAUAUCAUUUAUCAGCAUUGAUUUAUGAUUAAAGCUCCGGCGGUAAAAGAUGAGCAUGCGUCCUAUUAGUUUGUUGGUGAGGUAACGGCUCACCAAGACUACGAUAGGUAGGGGCCCUGAGAGGGGGAUCCCCCACACUGGUACUGAGACACGGACCAGACUCCUACGGGAGGCAGCAGUGAGGAAUAUUGGACAAUGGAGGCAACUCUGAUCCAGCCAUGCCGCGUGCAGGAUGACUGCCCUAUGGGUUGUAAACUGCUUUUAUAUAGGAAGAAACACUCCCACGUGUGGGGGCUUGACGGUACUAUAUGAAUAAGGAUCGGCUAACUCCGUGCCAGCAGCCGCGGUAAUACGGAGGAUCCAAGCGUUAUCCGGAAUCAUUGGGUUUAAAGGGUCCGCAGGCGGCCUGUUAAGUCAGAGGUGAAAGCCAACAGCUCAACUGUUGAACUGCCUUUGAUACUGAUAGGCUUGAGUUAUUGUGAAGUGGUUAGAAUGUGUGGUGUAGCGGUGAAAUGCUUAGAUAUCACACAGAAUACCCAUUGCGAAGGCAGAUCACUAACAAUAUACUGACGCUCAUGGACGAAAGCGUGGGGAGCGAACGGGAUUAGAUACCCCGGUAGUCCACGCCGUAGACGAUGGAUACUAACUGUUCGACCUUCGGGUUGAGUGGUCAAGCGAAAGUGAUAAGUAUCCCACCUGGGGAGUACGCUCGCAAGAGUGAAACUCAAAGGAAUUG
RNAcentral lists this ribosomal RNA (858 nucleotides) under uncultured Bacteroidota bacterium. Its description in RNAcentral is "bacterial SSU rRNA". It matches the Rfam family "Bacterial small subunit ribosomal RNA", at positions 56 to 912 of the family's 1533-position model. Lineage: Bacteria; Pseudomonadati; Bacteroidota. The record is from RNAcentral.